Molecule: ribosomal RNA, 263 nt
Filed under: uncultured archaeon
Lineage: Archaea
Description: partial 16S ribosomal RNA
Rfam family: Archaeal small subunit ribosomal RNA
Source: RNAcentral
CAGCCGUAAACUAUGCGCGUUAGGUGUACUGGUGACCACGAGUCACCGGGGUGCCGAAAGGGAAACCGUGAAACGUGCCGCCUGGGAAGUACGGUCGCAAGGCUGAAACUUAAAGGAAUUGGGCGGGGGAGCACCACAACGGGUGGAGCCUGCGGUUUAAUUGGACUCAACGCCGGAAAUCUCACCGGAUAGGACAGACAUAUGAUAGUCGGGCUGAAGACUCUACUUGAUGAUCUGAGAGGUGGUGCAUGGCGUCAGUGACU